This 292-nucleotide ribosomal RNA is filed under the name uncultured bacterium. Its description in RNAcentral is "partial 16S ribosomal RNA". It matches the Rfam family "Bacterial small subunit ribosomal RNA", at positions 505 to 796 of the family's 1533-position model. The record is from RNAcentral.
GUGUCAGCAGCCGCGGUAAUACGGAGGAUCCAAGCGUUAUCCGGAAUCAUUGGGUUUAAAGGGUCCGUAGGCGGUUUUAUAAGUCAGUGGUGAAAUCUGGUCGCUCAACGAUCAAACGGCCAUUGAUACUGUAGAACUUGAAUUACUUGGAAGUAACUAGAAUAUGUAGUGUAGCGGUGAAAUGCUUAGAGAUUACAUGGAAUACCAAUUGCGAAGGCAGGUUACUACGAGUUAAUUGACGCUGAUGGACGAAAGCGUGGGGAGCGAACAGGAUUAGAAACCCCCGUAGUCC